Molecule: ribosomal RNA, 234 nt
Filed under: uncultured bacterium
Lineage: Bacteria
Description: partial 16S ribosomal RNA
Rfam family: Bacterial small subunit ribosomal RNA
Source: RNAcentral
GAUCCCGGCUCAGGAUGAACGCUAGCGACAGGCUUAACACAUGCAAGUCGAGGGGCAUCAUGAGGUAGCAAUAUCUAUGGUGGCGACCGGCGCACGGGUGCGUAACGCGUAUGCAACCUACCUUUAACAGGGGGAUAACACUGAGAAAUUGGUACUAAUACCCCAUAAUAUCAUAGAAGGCAUCUUUUAUGGUUGAAAAUUCCGAUGGUUAGAGAUGGGCAUGCGUUGUAUUAG